Molecule: non-coding RNA, 24 nt
Filed under: Arabidopsis thaliana (thale cress)
Lineage: Eukaryota; Viridiplantae; Streptophyta; Magnoliopsida; Brassicales; Brassicaceae
Source: RNAcentral
AUCUCCAGUUUCAUUGUCCACCCU